AAAAUAAUAAGCAGAAAAAUACAAAGAUAGUAAAGUAAUGCCUGGUAAUUCAAGUUUCAGCUGUAAAAAGUGAUGCAACAACAUGAGAACAACCUUUAUCAUACCACAACAUGCAGCCUGAGGGAGACUAAAACUGAAUGAUCUGAAAGUUAUCAAUCAAUGCAUAGCAGUGAAAGGAAUGAUGUUUCAAGUGUCUUGUGUUAUUUACUGAUGAAUUUGUCUCUAUUUACCAUCUAG
Long non-coding RNA from Amphimedon queenslandica, 237 nucleotides. RefSeq lists it as uncharacterized. The record is from RefSeq and is a predicted model, not a curated record. Lineage: Eukaryota; Metazoa; Porifera; Demospongiae; Haplosclerida; Niphatidae. The transcript is spliced from 2 exons.